Molecule: transfer RNA, 76 nt
Filed under: Armatimonadetes bacterium 13_1_40CM_64_14
Lineage: Bacteria; Bacillati; Armatimonadota
Also listed under: 5 other names
Description: tRNA-Pro
Rfam family: tRNA
About the family: Transfer RNA (tRNA) molecules are approximately 80 nucleotides in length. Their secondary structure includes four short double-helical elements and three loops (D, anti-codon, and T loops).
Source: RNAcentral
CGGGCCGUAGCGCAGGUGGUAGCGCGCUUCCUUGGGGUGGAAGAGGUCGCCGGUUCAAGUCCGGCCGGCCCGACCA